UCCGGUUGAUCCUGCCAGUAGUCAUAUGCUUGUCUUAAAGAUUAAGCCAUGCACGUCUAAGGAUAAAUAUUUUUUAACCGUAAACCUGCGGAUGGCUCAUUAAAUCAGUUACAAUCUACUCUAUUGUAUAAAUUACUUGGAUAACCGUAGUAAUUCUAGAGCUAAUACAUGCAAAAAAUUUGAACUCGCAAGGGAACAAAUGUAUUUAUUAAGGAGCAAAAUCAAUACAGACCAUUCCAAACUCUAGAUUAUACUUUAAUCGGUAUUUUUUAGGGGGUUUGUAAAAAAAAAUUGAAGAAUCAUAGUAAACUUACGAAUCAUAAAUUUAAUUAUUUAUUGAUGAUAGGAACGAGUUUCUGACCUAUUAACUUUCGCUGGUAAUUUAGUGGAUUACCAUGGUUUUCAUGGGUAACGGAGAAUUUGGGUUUGAUUCCGGAGAAAAGGCCUGAGAGACGGCCAUUACUUCCAAGGAAGGCAGCAGGCGCGUAAAUUACCCAAUCCCAAUUCGGGGAGGUAGUGACGAGAAAUACUAGUAUUGGUCCCAACGGGAACAAUGAUUGGAAUGAGAACAAUUUAAAAACAUUAACGACUAACAAUUGGAGGGCAAGUCUGGUGCCAGCAGCCGCGGUAACUCCAGCUCCAAGAGUGUAUAUUAAAGUUGUUGCGGUUAAAAAGCUCGUAGUUGGACUUGAGGGAUUUAUAUAAAAGGAUUCUAGUUUUAAAGCUAGAUAUCUUUAUAUGUUUUUUCCUUUCUUUUUAUUUUCUUUUAAGAAGGGGCAACUCUUCUGUGGGAAUAGAUAGUUUACUUUGAAAAAAUUAGAGUGUUUAAAGCAGACAUGACAUGUACAAUUGAAUAUUACAGCAUGGGAUAAUAGAAUAGGACAUUAACCUUAAUUUUGUUGGUUUUGAAGGUUAAUAGUAAUGAUUAAAAGGGAUAGUUGGGGUCACUUGUAUUUGAUCGCUAGGGGUGAAAUCCUAUGAUUGCUCAAAGACAAACUACUGCGAAAGCAUUUGACAAGGAUGUUUUCAUUGAUCAAGAACGAAAGUUAGGGGAUCGAAGAUGAUUAGACACCGUCGUAGUCUUAACCAUAAACAAUGUCGACUUUGGAUUAGGAAAUAUUACAUGGAUGAUUUUCCUAGCACAAUAUGAGAAAUCAUAAGUAUUCAGACUCCGGGGGGAGUAUGGUCGCAAGAAUGAAACUUAAAGGAAUUGACGGAAGGGCACCACCAGGAGUGGAAUCUGCG
Molecule: ribosomal RNA, 1245 nt
Filed under: uncultured endolithic amoeba
Lineage: Eukaryota
Description: SSU rRNA
Rfam family: Eukaryotic small subunit ribosomal RNA
Source: RNAcentral